This 74-nucleotide transfer RNA is filed under the name Aquimarina macrocephali. Its description in RNAcentral is "tRNA-Ala". It matches the Rfam family "tRNA". From Rfam's summary of the family: Transfer RNA (tRNA) molecules are approximately 80 nucleotides in length. Their secondary structure includes four short double-helical elements and three loops (D, anti-codon, and T loops). Further hydrogen bonds mediate the characteristic L-shaped molecular structure. tRNAs have two regions of fundamental functional importance: the anti-codon, which is responsible for specific mRNA codon recognition, and the 3' end, to which the tRNAs corresponding amino acid is attached (by aminoacyl-tRNA synthetases). tRNAs cope with the degeneracy of the genetic code in two manners: having more than one tRNA (with a specific anti-codon) for a particular amino acid; and 'wobble' base-pairing, i.e. permitting non-standard base-pairing at the 3rd anti-codon position. RNAcentral also lists the same sequence under 14 other names. Lineage: Bacteria; Pseudomonadati; Bacteroidota; Flavobacteriia; Flavobacteriales; Flavobacteriaceae. The record is from RNAcentral.
GGGGAUGUAGCUCAGUUGGCUAGAGCGCUUGACUGGCAGUCAAGAGGUCGUGGGUUCGAGUCCCAUCUUCUCCA